UACCUGCAGCUCAAGUAGUGAUCGCUAUUAUUGGGCCUAAAACGUUCGUAGCCGGUUUGGUAAAUGCCUGGGUAAAUAGUGUAGCUUAACUAUACGAAUUCCGGGUAGACUGUCAAACUUGAGACCGGGAGAAGCUAGAGGUACUCCUGGGGUAGAGGUGAAAUUCUGUAAUCCUGAGGGGACCACCAGUGGCGAAGGCGUCUAGCUAGAACGGGUCUGACGGUGAGGAACGAAGCCCUGGGGCGCGAACCGGAUUAGAUACCCGGGUAGUCCAGGGUGUAAACGCUGCUUGCUUGAUGUUAGUUGGGCUCCGAGCCCAAUUAGUGUCGGAGAGAAGUUGUUAAGCAAGCUGCCUGGGAAGUACGAUCGCAAGAUUGAAACUUAAAGGAAUUGGCGGGGGAGCACCACAAGGGGUGAAGCCUGCGGUUU
Molecule: ribosomal RNA, 429 nt
Filed under: uncultured archaeon
Lineage: Archaea
Description: bacterial SSU rRNA
Rfam family: Archaeal small subunit ribosomal RNA
Source: RNAcentral